Molecule: unclassified non-coding RNA, 516 nt
Filed under: Hevea brasiliensis (rubber tree)
Lineage: Eukaryota; Viridiplantae; Streptophyta; Magnoliopsida; Malpighiales; Euphorbiaceae
Source: RNAcentral
AAAUAAAUAAAUAAAUAAAACCACAUAUUAGAAUUUGAAGUCGCUGAAUAGCACAAACUGACUUGGCAUGAUCUAUGACAUAACAUAUUAUGUUGGCAGAAGCUAAAUAAAACUAUAAUAGCACAUGUCCACAAAUUCUAACAACUGUCAAAUUCGUAGGUCUUUGCUAAGGACAAAUAAUAAUGGCUAAAAGCCAAAAUGUCAAAUUCAUAGGUCUUUGCUGUUGUGAAAGAGUUGCCUACCAUGUUGGGCUUUUUGAACAGGUAUCAACAUCAUAUCUACAGCUUAAGAACAAAUACAACAACUGAUGCCUAAAAUAUAACUGCAUGUAUCAGAUGCCAUAAGCACAGAGUGGUCCCAGUACCACAGUUUGCUCAUUCACCAAUUCUUCUCCUGUUUUAAGACUCCAAACACGUCAAAGAAAUAGCACCAAAAAUGGUGCACUCAAGAAGCAAAACUUAAAUCAUCAGCAAAAGGAUCACCAAAUAAGAGAAAUCAAAACUAAAGUACAAGUAA